CUGCCCAGUGAUUGUAUUUAACGGCCGCAGUACAAUGACUGUGCUAAGGUAGCAUAAUCAUUUGUCUCUUAAUUAGAGUCUAGUAUGAAAGGAUGUUUGGGGGUCAGCUGUCUUUUAAACAAUUUAUCUAAGUUAAUUAGAAGGUGAAAAUGCCUUCGGAUUACCAAUAAGACGAGAAGACCCUCAGAGUUAUUAUUUAAUACCUAUUUAGGUAUAUCAAUUUUUGUUGGGGCAACAGAUUUAGAAAUCUAACUGGAUUUUAUUAUGACUUUACAGGCAUUAAUUUAUAUGGAAGCAUUAACUACCUAAGGGAUAACAGCAUAAUUUAAUAAAGUUUAUGACCUCGAUGUUGGACUAGGAAAUGGCUCCAUUAGAUGUGGAGUUAAAUAGUUCUGUUCGA
Molecule: ribosomal RNA, 400 nt
Filed under: Chondrula tridens
Lineage: Eukaryota; Metazoa; Mollusca; Gastropoda; Stylommatophora; Enidae
Description: partial 16S ribosomal RNA
Rfam family: Bacterial large subunit ribosomal RNA
Source: RNAcentral